RNAcentral lists this ribosomal RNA (286 nucleotides) under uncultured Streptococcus sp. Its description in RNAcentral is "partial 16S ribosomal RNA". It matches the Rfam family "Bacterial small subunit ribosomal RNA", at positions 1096 to 1382 of the family's 1533-position model. The record is from RNAcentral. Lineage: Bacteria; Bacillati; Bacillota; Bacilli; Lactobacillales; Streptococcaceae.
GCGCAACCCCUAUUGUUAGUUUGCCAUCAUUCAGUUGGGCACUCUAGCGAGACUGCCGGUAAUAAACCGGAGGAAGGUGGGGAUGACGUCAAAUCAUCAUGCCCCUUAUGACCUGGGCUACACACGUGCUACAAUGGUUGGUACAACGAGUUGCGAGUCGGUGACGGCGAGCUAAUCUCUUAAAGCCAAUCUCAGUUCGGAUUGUAGGCUGCAACUCGCCUACAUGAAGUCGGAAUCGCUAGUAAUCGCGGAUCAGCACGCCGCGGUGAAUACGUUCCCGGGCCUU